RNAcentral lists this ribosomal RNA (492 nucleotides) under uncultured bacterium. Its description in RNAcentral is "partial 16S ribosomal RNA". It matches the Rfam family "Bacterial small subunit ribosomal RNA", at positions 29 to 507 of the family's 1533-position model. The record is from RNAcentral.
AGUGAACGCUGGCGGUAGGCCUAACACAUGCAAGUCGAACGGCAGCACAGUAAGAGCUUGCUCUUACGGGUGGCGAGUGGCGGACGGGUGAGGAAUACAUCGGAAUCUACUUUUUCGUGGGGGAUAACGUAGGGACACUUACGCUAAUACCGCAUACGACCUACGGGUGAAAGCAGGGGAUCUUCGGACCUUGCGCGAUUGAAUGAGCCGAUGUCGGAUUAGCUAGUUGGCGGGGUAAAGGCCCACCAAGGCGACGAUCCGUAGCUGGUCUGAGAGGAUGAUCAGCCACACUGGAACUGAGACACGGUCCAGACUCCUACGGGAGGCAGCAGUGGGGAAUAUUGGACAAUGGGCGCAAGCCUGAUCCAGCCAUACCGCGUGGGUGAAGAAGGCCUUCGGGUUGUAAAGCCCUUUUGUUGGGAAAGAAAAGCAGCAGGUUAAUACCCCGAUGUUCUGACGGUACCCAAAGAGUAAGCACCGGCUAACUUCGUG